Long non-coding RNA from Cydia splendana, 1408 nucleotides. RefSeq lists it as uncharacterized. The transcript has 3 exons. The record is from RefSeq and is a predicted model, not a curated record. NCBI's taxonomy places the organism in Eukaryota, Metazoa, Arthropoda, Insecta, Lepidoptera, Tortricidae.
CUUGUUGGUUUACAAAUACAAUAAAUGAAUUCUAAUAAAAGAAACAGUAGACUCAGUAGAGAUACGAGGUACUGAAAAAAUAUUAAUUAAUGGAGAAGCCGAAGUUGGAGGAAAACAAGAAGAUUCGAGGAGAAUGGUGUGGCACUUAAUGCCGCCGGGACAGUAACCUAGCUGCAGCUCCAACUCUAGGGAAUUGGGCUGAAUGAACGCAACACGUGAUCGACAGCCCACCUGCUUCCUGCCGAGCGUCCCUACACUACCUCUACAUGGAUGCCUCGCUUAUUCUGCUCUACAAAACUUCUGAGCUGAUACAAGCAGCCAGAAUGAGUCUCUGCUGAGUCGCCGGCGCCGGACGUGCGUCGCGCGCCUCGGGCGUCUGACGUCUUCGUGUCAGUCGCCAAUUGCAGGAGAAGAUACGAAUAGUUAGGUAUAAAAGCUACUUUAGUCAACCUCGCCUCAGUACUGUUUGUAUUGACUGAAAUACAAGUAGCAUAUAUGAGACGUUCGGACGUAUCCGUGAAAAUACGAAGGUAAAGGAAAUUGCACUACAUUUUUAGAACCUAUUCACCUGUCAGUAAAAUAUUGAAAAGGAAUGUUCAUGAGUGUUAUAAUUUUCUUUCCUCCAACAGCUUCACAUGGAGCAAAUGUAAACCUUUUAUGUUAAUAAUAUCAGUAAUGUCAAGGUACAACGCUCUUUAGAUCAUAUUGCCAUUCCUUUUACUCGAGCGGCCUGUGGGUUAACUAUACGAAGCGAGCCUACAAUGCAUUAAAAGUGCAGUAUAACAAUGCAUUCAGAAUGCUGUUGGGCUUACCUCGUAGAUGUAGUGCAUCUGGCAUGUUUUGCGAAGCUAGAAGUUUUCUGGCAAUCAUGCGCAAGAAAAUAGUAUCUCUGCUAGGUCGAGUUAGAAGCAGUCCCAAACAUACAUGUUCGAAAAGUAGAACUCCCUUAGAUCGUGUUUCAAUUUAUCGCCUCUCGUUGGCAAUUAAGGUGGUUCGCUUUCCAUACAAAAAACAAUUAAUUACCUAAUAGUGUGUAAUUACUUAAUAUAACGCAAUUGUUUUUUGUAUGGAAAGCGAACCACCUUAACUAUUCGCACAACGUUUUGUAGUUGCAGUAAGUACUUACAUAUGGCCGGUAAAAUUUUCGAAAUAGGUAUGUAUUUACGUACAGUGCUAAUUGCCGCACAUAGAAUAAUUAAAGUUUGAUCAAUCGGAAUAUGUUCAUAAGUCACUUAUUACAUUUCGAUUUAUAAGUCUGUAUUUUCCAGCUUUAGAUGUGCAUGACUGCAUAUGCACAUCUAAAGCUGAAAAAUGCUUUCAUGAAUACGUUUAUAAUUAUGGCUAAAUUAUGUGAAUAGGGACAAAUGUAUCAUUUUCAACCAAAGGGGUACUUAUUAUCUGUUGUCAA